GACGAACCCUGGCGGCGUGCUUAACACAUGCAAGUCGAACGGAGCUAUUUAUUUCGGUAGAUAGCUUAGUGGCAAACGGUGAGUAACGCGUAGCAACCUGCCCUUAGGAUGGGGACAACGGCCCGAAAGGACCGCUAAUACCGAAUGGACUCUAACUUUCGCAUGAAAGAAAGAGGAAAGAUGGUGCAAGCCAUCGCCGAAGGAAGGGCCUGCGUCUGAUUAGCCAGUUGGUGAGGUAACGGCUCACCAAAGCAACGAUCAGUAGCCGGUCUGAGAGGAUGAACGGCCACAAUGGGACUGAGACACGGCCCAUACUCCUACGGGAGGCAGCAGUGGGGAAUCUUCCGCAAUGGGCGCAAGCCCUGACGGGAGCA
RNAcentral lists this ribosomal RNA (374 nucleotides) under Veillonellaceae bacterium oral taxon 132. RNAcentral describes it as "bacterial SSU rRNA". It matches the Rfam family "Bacterial small subunit ribosomal RNA", at positions 28 to 393 of the family's 1533-position model. Lineage: Bacteria; Bacillati; Bacillota; Negativicutes; Veillonellales; Veillonellaceae. The record is from RNAcentral.